This 489-nucleotide ribosomal RNA is filed under the name uncultured bacterium. RNAcentral describes it as "partial 16S ribosomal RNA". It matches the Rfam family "Bacterial small subunit ribosomal RNA", at positions 30 to 506 of the family's 1533-position model. The record is from RNAcentral.
AUUGAACGCUGGCGGCAGGCCUAACACAUGCAAGUCGAACGGUAACAGGGAUCAGCUUGCUGAUUCGCUGACGAGUGGCGGACGGGUGAGUAAUGUCUGGGAAACUGCCUGAUGGAGGGGGAUAACUACUGGAAACGGUAGCUAAUACCGCAUAACGUCGCAAGACCAAAGAGGGGGACCUUCGGGCCUCUUGCCAUCGGAUGUGCCCAGAUGGGAUUAGCUAGUAGGUGGGGUAACGGCUCACCUAGGCGACGAUCCCUAGCUGGUCUGAGAGGAUGACCAGCCACACUGGAACUGAGACACGGUCCAGACUCCUACGGGAGGCAGCAGUGGGGAAUAUUGCACAAUGGGCGCAAGCCUGAUGCAGCCAUGCCGCGUGUAUGAAGAAGGCCUGCGGGUUGUAAAGUACUUUCAGCGGGGAGGAAGGGAGUAAAGUUAAUACCUUUGCUCAUUGACGUUACCCGCAGAAGAAGCACCGGCUAACUCCGU